Molecule: ribosomal RNA, 2925 nt
Filed under: Salmonella enterica subsp. enterica serovar Enteritidis
Lineage: Bacteria; Pseudomonadati; Pseudomonadota; Gammaproteobacteria; Enterobacterales; Enterobacteriaceae
Description: bacterial LSU rRNA
Rfam family: Bacterial large subunit ribosomal RNA
Source: RNAcentral
GGGUUGUGAGGUUAAGCGACUAAGCGUACACGGUGGAUGCCCUGGCAGUCAGAGGCGAUGAAGGGCGUACUAAUCUGCGAUAAGCGCCGGUAAGGUGAUAUGAACCGUUAUAACCGGCGAUACCCGAAUGGGGAAACCCAGUGUGAUUCGUCACACUAUCAUUAACUGAAUCCAUAGGUUAAUGAGGCGAACCGGGGGAACUGAAACAUCUAAGUACCCCGAGGAAAAGAAAUCAACCGAGAUUCCCCCAGUAGCGGCGAGCGAACGGGGAGGAGCCCAGAGCCUGAAUCAGCAUGUGUGUUAGUGGAAGCGUCUGGAAAGGCGCGCGAUACAGGGUGACAGCCCCGUACACAAAAGCGCAUGUGCUGUGAGCUCGAUGAGUAGGGCGGGACACGUGGUAUCCUGUCUGAAUAUGGGGGGACCAUCCUCCAAGGCUAAAUACUCCUGACUGACCGAUAGUGAACCAGUACCGUGAGGGAAAGGCGAAAAGAACCCCGGCGAGGGGAGUGAAAAAGAACCUGAAACCGUGUACGUACAAGCAGUGGGAGCACCCUUUGGGUGUGACUGCGUACCUUUUGUAUAAUGGGUCAGCGACUUAUAUUCUGUAGCAAGGUUAACCGAAUAGGGGAGCCGGAGGGAAACCGAGUCUUAAUUGGGCGUUAAGUUGCAGGGUAUAGACCCGAAACCCGGUGAUCUAGCCAUGGGCAGGUUGAAGGUUGGGUAACACUAACUGGAGGACCGAACCGACUAAUGUUGAAAAAUUAGCGGAUGACCUGUGGCUGGGGGUGAAAGGCCAAUCAAACCGGGAGAUAGCUGGUUCUCCCCGAAAGCUAUUUAGGUAGCGCCUCGUGAAUUCAUCUCCGGGGGUAGAGCACUGUUUCGGCUAGGGGGCCAUCCCGGCUUACCAACCCGAUGCAAACUGCGAAUACCGGAGAAUGUUAUCACGGGAGACACACGGCGGGUGCUAACGUCCGUCGUGAAGAGGGAAACAACCCAGACCGCCAGCUAAGGUCCCAAAGUCAUGGUUAAGUGGGAAACGAUGUGGGAAGGCCCAGACAGCCAGGAUGUUGGCUUAGAAGCAGCCAUCAUUUAAAGAAAGCGUAAUAGCUCACUGGUCGAGUCGGCCUGCGCGGAAGAUGUAACGGGGCUAAACCAUGCACCGAAGCUGCGGCAGCGACACUGUGUGUUGUUGGGUAGGGGAGCGUUCUGUAAGCCUGUGAAGGUGUGUCGUGAGGCAUGCUGGAGGUAUCAGAAGUGCGAAUGCUGACAUAAGUAACGAUAAAGCGGGUGAAAAGCCCGCUCGCCGGAAGACCAAGGGUUCCUGUCCAACGUUAAUCGGGGCAGGGUGAGUCGACCCCUAAGGCGAGGCCGAAAGGCGUAGUCGAUGGGAAACGGGUUAAUAUUCCCGUACUUGGUGUUACUGCGAAGGGGGGACGGAGAAGGCUAUGUUGGCCGGGCGACGGUUGUCCCGGUUUAAGCGUGUAGGUGUGUGUUCCAGGUAAAUCCGGUUCACUUUAACACUGAGGCGUGACGACGAGGCACUACGGUGCUGAAGCAACAAAUGCCCUGCUUCCAGGAAAAGCCUCUAAGCAUCAGGUAACAUCAAAUCGUACCCCAAACCGACACAGGUGGUCAGGUAGAGAAUACCAAGGCGCUUGAGAGAACUCGGGUGAAGGAACUAGGCAAAAUGGUGCCGUAACUUCGGGAGAAGGCACGCUGACACGUAGGUGAAGUGAUUUACUCAUGGAGCUGAAGUCAGUCGAAGAUACCAGCUGGCUGCAACUGUUUAUUAAAAACACAGCACUGUGCAAACACGAAAGUGGACGUAUACGGUGUGACGCCUGCCCGGUGCCGGAAGGUUAAUUGAUGGGGUCAGCGCAAGCGAAGCUCCUGAUCGAAGCCCCGGUAAACGGCGGCCGUAACUAUAACGGUCCUAAGGUAGCGAAAUUCCUUGUCGGGUAAGUUCCGACCUGCACGAAUGGCGUAAUGAUGGCCAGGCUGUCUCCACCCGAGACUCAGUGAAAUUGAACUCGCUGUGAAGAUGCAGUGUACCCGCGGCAAGACGGAAAGACCCCGUGAACCUUUACUAUAGCUUGACACUGAACAUUGAGCCUUGAUGUGUAGGAUAGGUGGGAGGCUUUGAAGUGUGGACGCCAGUCUGCAUGGAGCCGACCUUGAAAUACCACCCUUUAAUGUUUGAUGUUCUAACGUGGACCCGUUACCCGGGUUGCGGACAGUGUCUGGUGGGUAGUUUGACUGGGGCGGUCUCCUCCUAAAGAGUAACGGAGGAGCACGAAGGUUGGCUAAUCCUGGUCGGACAUCAGGAGGUUAGUGCAAUGGCAUAAGCCAGCUUGACUGCGAGCGUGACGGCGCGAGCAGGUGCGAAAGCAGGUCAUAGUGAUCCGGUGGUUCUGAAUGGAAGGGCCAUCGCUCAACGGAUAAAAGGUACUCCGGGGAUAACAGGCUGAUACCGCCCAAGAGUUCAUAUCGACGGCGGUGUUUGGCACCUCGAUGUCGGCUCAUCACAUCCUGGGGCUGAAGUAGGUCCCAAGGGUAUGGCUGUUCGCCAUUUAAAGUGGUACGCGAGCUGGGUUUAGAACGUCGUGAGACAGUUCGGUCCCUAUCUGCCGUGGGCGCUGGAGAACUGAGGGGGGCUGCUCCUAGUACGAGAGGACCGGAGUGGACGCAUCACUGGUGUUCGGGUUGUCAUGCCAAUGGCACUGCCCGGUAGCUAAAUGCGGAAGAGAUAAGUGCUGAAAGCAUCUAAGCACGAAACUUGCCCCGAGAUGAGUUCUCCCUGAGACUUAGAGUCUCCUGAAGGAACGUUGAAGACGACGACGUUGAUAGGCCGGGUGUGUAAGCGCAGCGAUGCGUUGAGCUAACCGGUACUAAUGAACCGUGAGGCUUAACCUUACAACGCCGAAG